AUUUUAAUAGCUUAUAUAGAGCAUGAUAUUGAAGCUAUCAAGGAGAUUUUGUCUUAAGAUA
RNAcentral lists this transfer RNA (61 nucleotides) under Latoselasia similis. Its description in RNAcentral is "tRNA-Phe". Lineage: Eukaryota; Metazoa; Arthropoda; Insecta; Coleoptera; Elateridae. The record is from RNAcentral.